GUGCUAAUCUGCGAAAAGCGUCGGUAAGGUGAUAUGAACCGUUAUAGCCGGCGAUGUCCGAAUGGGGAAACCCAGUGCAAUUCGUUGCACUAUCGUUAACUGAAUACAUAGGUUAACGAGGCGAACCGGGGGAACUGAAACAUCUAAGUACCCCGAGGAAAAGAAAUCAACCGAGAUUCCCCCAGUAGCGGCGAGCGAACGGGGAGCAGCCCAGAGUCUGAAUCAGCUUGUGUGUUAGUGGAACGGUCUGGAAAGUCCGACGGUACAGGGUGAUAGUCCCGUACACCAAAAUGCACAGGCUGUGAACUCGAAGAGUAGGGCGGGACACGUGGUAUCCUGUCUGAAUAUGGGGGGACCAUCCUCCAAGGCUAAAUACUCCUGACUGACCGAUAGUGAACCAGUACCGUGAGGGAAAGGCGAAAAGAACCCCGGCGAGGGGAGUGAAAAAGAACCUGAAACCGUGUACGUACAAGCAGUGGGAGCACCUUCGGGUGUGACUGCGUACCUUUUGUAUAAUGGGUCAGCGACUUAUAUUCUGUAGCAAGGUUAACCGUAUAGGGGAGCCGCAGGGAAACCGAGUCUUAACUGGGCGUUAAGUUGCAGGGUAUAGACCCGAAACCCGGUGAUCUAGCCAUGGGCAGGUUGAAGGUUGGGUAACACUAACUGGAGGACCGAACCGACUAAUGUUGAAAAAUUAGCGGAUGACUUGUGGCUGGGGGUGAAAGGCCAAUCAAACCGGGAGAUAGCUGGUUCUCCCCGAAAGCUAUUUAGGUAGCGCCUCGUGAACUCAUCUUCGGGGGUAGAGCACUGUUUCGGCUAGGGGGUCAUCCCGACUUACCAACCCGAUGCAAACUACGAAUACCGAAGAAUGUUAUCACGGGAGACACACGGCGGGUGCUAACGUCCGUCGUGAAGAGGGAAACAACCCAGACCGCCAGCUAAGGUCCCAAAGUCAUGGUUAAGUGGGAAACGAUGUGGGAAGGCACAGACAGCCAGGAUGUUGGCUUAGAAGCAGCCAUCAUUUAAAGAAAGCGUAAUAGCUCACUGGUCGAGUCGGCCUGCGCGGAAGAUGUAACGGGGCUAAACCAUGCACCGAAGCUGCGGCAGCGACACUAUGUGUUGUUGGGUAGGGGAGCGUUCUGUAAGCCUGCGAAGGUGACCUGUGAGGCAUGCUGGAGGUAUCAGAAGUGCGAAUGCUGACAUAAGUAACGAUAAAGCGGGUGAAAAGCCCGCUCGCCGGAAGACCAAGGGUUCCUGUCCAACGUUAAUCGGGGCAGGGUGAGUCGACCCCUAAGGCGAGGCCGAAAGGCGUAGUCGAUGGGAAACAGGUUAAUAUUCCUGUACUUGGUGUUACUGCGAAGGGGGGACGGAGAAGGCUAUGUUAGCCGGGCGACGGUUGUCCCGGUUUAAGCAUGUAGGCUGGUUAUCCAGGCAAAUCCGGAUAAUCAAGGCUGAGGUGUGAUGACGAGGCACUACGGUGCUGAAGUAACAAAUGCCCUGCUUCCAGGAAAAGCCUCUAAGCAUCAGGUAACAUCAAAUCGUACCCCAAACCGACACAGGUGGUCAGGUAGAGAAUACCAAGGCGCUUGAGAGAACUCGGGUGAAGGAACUAGGCAAAAUGGUGCCGUAACUUCGGGAGAAGGCACGCUGGUGUGUAGGUGAAGUCCCUGCGGAUGGAGCUGAGACCAGUCGAAGAUACCAGCUGGCUGCAACUGUUUAUUAAAAACACAGCACUGUGCAAACACGAAAGUGGACGUAUACGGUGUGACGCCUGCCCGGUGCCGGAAGGUUAAUUGAUGGGGUUAUCCGUAAGGAGAAGCUCUUGAUCGAAGCCCCGGUAAACGGCGGCCGUAACUAUAACGGUCCUAAGGUAGCGAAAUUCCUUGUCGGGUAAGUUCCGACCUGCACGAAUGGCGUAAUGAUGGCCAGGCUGUCUCCACCCGAGACUCAGUGAAAUUGAACUCGCUGUGAAGAUGCAGUGUACCCGCGGCAAGACGGAAAGACCCCGUGAACCUUUACUAUAGCUUGACACUGAACAUUGAGCCUUGAUGUGUAGGAUAGGUGGGAGGCUUUGAAGCGUGGACGCCAGUCUGCGUGGAGCCAACCUUGAAAUACCACCCUUUAAUGUUUGAUGUUCUAACGUUGGCCCCUGACCGGGGUUGCGGACAGUGUCUGGUGGGUAGUUUGACUGGGGCGGUCUCCUCCCAAAGCGUAACGGAGGAGCACGAAGGUUAGCUAAUCCUGGUCGGACAUCAGGAGGUUAGUGCAAUGGCAUAAGCUAGCUUGACUGCGAGCGUGACGGCGCGAGCAGGUGCGAAAGCAGGUCAUAGUGAUCCGGUGGUUCUGAAUGGAAGGGCCAUCGCUCAACGGAUAAAAGGUACUCCGGGGAUAACAGGCUGAUACCGCCCAAGAGUUCAUAUCGACGGCGGUGUUUGGCACCUCGAUGUCGGCUCAUCACAUCCUGGGGCUGAAGUAGGUCCCAAGGGUAUGGCUGUUCGCCAUUUAAAGUGGUACGCGAGCUGGGUUUAGAACGUCGUGAGACAGUUCGGUCCCUAUCUGCCGUGGGCGCUGGAGAAUUGAGGGGGGCUGCUCCUAGUACGAGAGGACCGGAGUGGACGCAUCACUGGUGUUCGGGUUGUCAUGCCAAUGGCACUGCCCGGUAGCUAAAUGCGGAAGAGAUAAGUGCUGAAAGCAUCUAAGCACGAAACUUGCCCCGAGAUGAGUUCUCCCUGAGACUUUAAGUCUCCUGAAGGAACGUUAAAGACGAUGACGUUGAUAGGCCGGGUGUGUAAGCGCAGCGAUGCGUUGAGCUAACCGGUACUAAUGAACCGUGAGGCUUAACCUU
Molecule: ribosomal RNA, 2845 nt
Filed under: Klebsiella pneumoniae MGH 66
Lineage: Bacteria; Pseudomonadati; Pseudomonadota; Gammaproteobacteria; Enterobacterales; Enterobacteriaceae
Description: bacterial LSU rRNA
Rfam family: Bacterial large subunit ribosomal RNA
Source: RNAcentral